UUUCCAUUGAAAUUAUCUUCCGUUCCAUUCAUAAUUGGAUUACGAAAUUCCUUCGUUAUCAGACGUGUUUACUUUCUGUAGCAGACAAAUGGAUGUUGUAGAGGAAACUGGCGGGCUGAUAAGGGAGCCCAUAAUAACAAUCUGUGAAUUAAGUGACUAUGCACAAGGACUUGAUGAAAAAGACAAACGACAGUAUGUAGAAAAACUAGUUAAAUGUGAAAUAGAUUGCCCAUUAUAAUUAAUUAAUUAAUUAUUAUAACGAAGGGCACAGUUUUUCAAUAACAGCGGCUUCCACUACCCACAUUUGUUGUGGAAUAAAAAAUGGGCAAUCUAUAUCACUAAACCGAUUGGCUAUUUUUUGUGUAGGUCGGUGUGGUUUGACGGGUCUCAGGGAAUUUCCUGCCCCAAUAUAAGUCAUAAUCGGGAAAAGAAUUAGUUAAAUUUUUAAAAAAAUUGACGAAAUGGAUAGCUCUUGAUAACCUCUAUCCAUUUUUGUAAAAUAAUUGUUUUAAAAAAAUUACUCGAAUGGUAAACCGAAUAGCCAUUUUUAGGACAGGUCGGUGCACCGACCUACACAAAAAACAGCCAAUCGGUUUACUACUCAAGUAGAUCCUUUUAAAGCGAUAAUUUAACAGAAAUGGAUACGUCUUGAUGAGGGCUAUCCAUUUCUGUAAAAUUUGUCUAUUCCAUAUUUAUAUUUUUACGGAUAACGUUAAGUUAUUAAUACAUAUUAUACGUAUCAUAUAGGAUAUAUAGGAUGUAAAUAUAUAAGGAUAUAUAUAAUAUAUGGGACGUAAUAUAUAGGAAUAAUACGUAUUAUAUAUUUUAUAGUAAUAAUACGUAGUAACACGUAAACUGUUUACGGAUUAAAUGUGGAGUAUGUGUUGGCUAGAUGGUGAAGUAUUGAAUCGUUAAAAGACCGGAAAAAAAUUGAUUCUUUGGAAGGCCCUAUCUUUUAGCAUUGGCGUAUUUAUCAUCUACACGUUAAGACGCCGUCUCAGAAACCUUGUUGCAAGCAUAGGAUAGCCCACUGAAUGUAAUAGUUCAAGCCUGAAGGUUCCCUAUCUCGGCCGUUCAAUCGUUUUGACGGGAUCAGGAUAAAAUGCAGACGUGGACCGCGAACUGCGGACAGGAGAAACUGCGGACUUUCACCUGCGGACUGGCCCGAAAUUUUUGACUGAUUUUUCGUGGACUUUGGGAUAAAAUGCGGAUCGUUUCGUACACGGAGCGAUUGAAUGUGCGGAACGGGCAUGAUAAACUGCGGACUGGUAUCUGCGAACUCCAUUCCCAUAUAAAAUUUUUAAUUUCAAACUAAAAAAAGUAUUUAAAAGUCAACAUAUGUAUUAUUCAAAAUAUGAAAGUAAAGGACAGUUUAUAUCACAUGGGCAAAUAAAACAUGUAAUAAACUUAAAGGCAUUUGGGGCAUUUCCAAGGGGUUUUUUAAGACUCCUGAAAGGCAUAAUGCUGUUUUUUUGGAAGACAUUCCUUGGGGUACCAUUCUUUGCAAAGUUUGGUACCACACUGCUGCCUACUGAAGAACGACUUACAUACGCUACGGUUGUCUAAUUCAAAUUCUUAGUUAUGCUUUGUGCGUAAAAGAAAAUAGAAUAUAAUGGAUUUGGCCUGAAGGAAGAAAUAAAUAAAAUGGUCAACUGCUAAGAGCUGUGCGCAUUUUUAUUUUUUUUUCAUUGGAAUUGUUGCAUGCAUACAUAUUUUUUAAAAGCAACAGUUAUCGAACAAAAGCCAAUGCGUGACAAAAAUGAGGUUGAUCUGUCUUGACUAGAGUAAAUUCAAUGCCUGU
Molecule: long non-coding RNA, 1801 nt
Organism: Daphnia magna
Lineage: Eukaryota; Metazoa; Arthropoda; Branchiopoda; Diplostraca; Daphniidae
Exons: 2
Source: RefSeq, a predicted model, not a curated record